GACUCUCGGCAACGGAUAUCUCGGCUCUCGCAUCGAUGAAGAACGUAGCGAAAUGCGAUACUUGGUGUGAAUUGCAGAAUCCCGCGAAUCAUCGAGUCUUUGAACGCAAGUUGCGCCCAAAGCCAUUAGGCCGAGGGCACGUCUGCCUGGGCGUCACGCA
RNAcentral lists this ribosomal RNA (160 nucleotides) under Gratiola aurea. RNAcentral describes it as "5.8S ribosomal RNA". It matches the Rfam family "5.8S ribosomal RNA". Rfam says of the family: 5.8S ribosomal RNA (5.8S rRNA) is a component of the large subunit of the eukaryotic ribosome. Lineage: Eukaryota; Viridiplantae; Streptophyta; Magnoliopsida; Lamiales; Plantaginaceae. The record is from RNAcentral.